Molecule: long non-coding RNA, 372 nt
Organism: Humulus lupulus (European hop)
Lineage: Eukaryota; Viridiplantae; Streptophyta; Magnoliopsida; Rosales; Cannabaceae
Exons: 2
Source: RefSeq, a predicted model, not a curated record
UUGGUUACAUAUAUAUACCCUGGGAGGCCUCUUUCUAAUGUGGCCUUCAAGACCUGUCAGUCGUUAUAUUAGCAUGUCAGAAGCUCUUAUGUUCCUUGGUGACUUCAAAUCAGUCCACUACAUGAAGAACACCCCAAACUCAUGUUUGUUGUUCAGCUUUAUACAGGAAAUGGGUUCUUAGCUUCUACACUAAAAGACUGUUUAUUAUUAUUCAUUAUAAUAUAUGAACAUUUUUUUUGUUUUUUUAUUAGUUUCAAUGCUUCGAACCUUAGAAAUCAAAGAAGCAAUGUUUUCUUUGGUUUAAAGAAUAUAUUCAUGUAAAAUAUUUUUAAUUUAUCAGUGAAAGAGAUUCUAUAGCAACCUCAUAUAAUA